UACGUAGGGGGCUAGCGUUGUCCGGAUUUAUUGGGCGUAAAGAGCGUGUAGGCGGCCAGGUAGGUCUGCUGUGAAAACUCGAGGCUCAACCUCGAGACGUCGGCGGAAACCAUCUGGCUAGAGUCCGGAAGAGGAGAGUGGAAUUCCUGGUGUAGCGGUGAAAUGCGCAGAUAUCAGGAAGAACACCGGUGGCGAAGGCGCUCUGCUAGGCCGCAACUGACACUGAGGGACGAAAGCUAGGGGAGCGAAUGGG
This 253-nucleotide ribosomal RNA is filed under the name uncultured bacterium. RNAcentral's name for it is "partial 16S ribosomal RNA". It matches the Rfam family "Bacterial small subunit ribosomal RNA", at positions 524 to 776 of the family's 1533-position model. The record is from RNAcentral.